This 493-nucleotide ribosomal RNA is filed under the name uncultured bacterium. Its description in RNAcentral is "partial 16S ribosomal RNA". It matches the Rfam family "Bacterial small subunit ribosomal RNA", at positions 28 to 523 of the family's 1533-position model. The record is from RNAcentral.
GAUGAACGCUGGCGGCGUGCCUAACACAUGCAAGUCGAACGAAGCACCUUUUAAGAUUCUUCGGAUGAUUGAUUGGUGACUGAGUGGCGGACGGGUGAGUAACGCGUGGGUAACCUGCCCUGUACAGGGGGAUAACAGUUGGAAACGGCUGCUAAUACCGCAUAAACGCACGAGAGGACAUCCUCUUGUGUGAAAAACUCCGGUGGUACAGGAUGGGCCCGCGUCUGAUUAGCUGGUUGGCAGGGUAACGGCCUACCAAGGCGACGAUCAGUAGCCGGUCUGAGAGGAUGAACGGCCACAUUGGAACUGAGACACGGUCCAAACUCCUACGGGAGGCAGCAGUGGGGAAUAUUGCACAAUGGGGGAAACCCUGAUGCAGCAACGCCGCGUGAGUGAAGAAGUAUUUCGGUAUGUAAAGCUCUAUCAGCAGGGAAGAUAAUGACGGUACCUGACUAAGAAGCUCCGGCUAAAUACGUGCCAGCCGCCGCCGUAA